This 612-nucleotide long non-coding RNA is filed under the name Pan troglodytes (chimpanzee). RNAcentral's name for it is "long non-coding RNA NONPTRT006675". The record is from RNAcentral. Lineage: Eukaryota; Metazoa; Chordata; Mammalia; Primates; Hominidae.
AAUGAGCUGACAGCAGAGCUGAAACGGUCACUGCCUUCCACCGACACGAGACUCCGGCCAGACCAGAGGUACCUGGAGGAGGGGAACAUACAGGCAGCUGAGGCCCAGAAGAGAAGGAUCGAGCAGCUGCAGCGAGACAGGCGCAAAGUCAUGGAGGAAAACAACAUCGUACACCAGGCUCGCUUCUUCAGGGCCUUCUCCAGCUCCCUUUGGUUGGUCCCUGGCCAUCCCUCCUGUCCUGGAUCCCUUCUCCCUAACUGCAAAAUGCCUGCAGCUUCCAGCUCCUUCGUCCCUGAUCCUCAAGCGGUUCCCUCCCGUCUCAGCUCAGCGGAUCCCCCAGAGUGGAGGAGGCCUCUCCAUGAGGAGGGGAGCAGCCCAAGGCACCUGGCCUCCGACCCACCGGCAGCGAGUGCACAGGUGUGAGUGUAAGUUCAUGUAGGAGAGUGUAUGCGUGUGCGCCUGUGCCCUGCUUGCAGGCAAGCAGGGCUCCCUCAUGUAGCCCGGCCUUCCCCCUGCUGGGGGUCCACCACAUCGCUGCUCUUUCUCACAGUCUGCCUCUGAUGAGGGCGAAUUGCUAUGACAUUCCAAGCUCCAAUAAAGACUGUCCCAGAC